This 425-nucleotide ribosomal RNA is filed under the name uncultured bacterium. RNAcentral's name for it is "bacterial SSU rRNA". It matches the Rfam family "Bacterial small subunit ribosomal RNA", at positions 354 to 796 of the family's 1533-position model. The record is from RNAcentral.
GUGGGGAAUAUUGGACAAUGGGGGCAACCCUGAUCCAGCCAUGCCGCGUGGGUGAUGAAGGCCUUAGGGUUGUAAAGCCCUUUCGGCGGGGAAGAUAAUGACGGUACCCGCAGAAGAAGCCCCGGCUAACUUCGUGCCAGCAGCCGCGGUAAUACGAAGGGGGCUAGCGUUGCUCGGAAUCACUGGGCGUAAAGCGCACGUAGGCGGGUUCUUAAGUCGGAGGUGAAAUCCUGGAGCUUAACUCCAGAACUGCCCCCGAUACUGAGGAUCUCGAGUUCGGGAGAGGUGAGUGGAACUGCGAGUGUAGAGGUGAAAUUCGUAGAUAUUCGCAAGAACACCAGUGGCGAAGGCGGCUCACUGGCCCGAUACUGACGCUGAGGUGCGAAAGCGUGGGGAGCAAACAGGAUUAGAUACCCCUGUAGUCC